This 65-nucleotide small RNA is filed under the name Klebsiella variicola. Its description in RNAcentral is "partial RtT sRNA". It matches the Rfam family "RtT RNA", at positions 1 to 64 of the family's 130-position model. Rfam says of the family: This family represents a bacterial cis-regulatory element known as RtT RNA. The exact function of RtT is unknown although it is thought that it may be involved in changing the cellular response in relation to amino acid starvation. RNAcentral also lists the same sequence under 1 other name. Lineage: Bacteria; Pseudomonadati; Pseudomonadota; Gammaproteobacteria; Enterobacterales; Enterobacteriaceae. The record is from RNAcentral.
GAUUCUGCCCUACGGGGAAGGAUGAGAAGCUUCGACUAAGGUUCGACUCGAGCGCCAGCGAGAGA